Molecule: ribosomal RNA, 465 nt
Filed under: Vreelandella stevensii
Lineage: Bacteria; Pseudomonadati; Pseudomonadota; Gammaproteobacteria; Oceanospirillales; Halomonadaceae
Description: partial 16S ribosomal RNA
Rfam family: Bacterial small subunit ribosomal RNA
Source: RNAcentral
CCUACGGGGGGCAGCAGUGGGGAAUAUUGGACAAUGGGGGGAACCCUGAUCCAGCCAUGCCGCGUGUGUGAAGAAGGCCCUCGGGUUGUAAAGCACUUUCAGUGAGGAAGAACGCCUGGUGGUUAAUACCCAUCAGGAAAGACAUCACUCACAGAAGAAGCACCGGCUAACUCCGUGCCAGCAGCCGCGGUAAUACGAAGGGUGCGAGCGUUAAUCGGAAUUACUGGGCGUAAAGCGCGCGUAGGUGGCUUGAUAAGCCGGUUGUGAAAGCCCCGGGCUCAACCUGGGAACGGCAUCCGGAACUGUCAAGCUAGAGUGCAGGAGAGGAAGGUAGAAUUCCCGGUGUAGCGGUGAAAUGCGUAGAGAUCGGGAGGAAUACCAGUGGCGAAGGCGGCCUUCUGGACUGACACUGACACUGAGGUGCGAAAGCGUGGGUAGCAAACAGGAUUAGAUACCCUAGUAGUC